AUUGAACGCUGGCGGCAGGCCUAACACAUGCAAGUCGAGCGGAUGAAGGGAGCUUGCUCCUGGAUUCAGCGGCGGACGGGUGAGUAAUGCCUAGGAAUCUGCCUGGUAGUGGGGGAUAACGUCCGGAAACGGGCGCUAAUACCGCAUACGUCCUGAGGGAGAAAGUGGGGGAUCUUCGGACCUCACGCUAUCAGAUGAGCCUAGGUCGGAUUAGCUAGUUGGUGGGGUAAAGGCCUACCAAGGCGACGAUCCGUAACUGGUCUGAGAGGAUGAUCAGUCACACUGGAACUGAGAAACGGUCCAGACUCCUACGGGAGGCAGCAGUGGGGAAUAUUGGACAAUGGGCGAAAGCCUGAUCCAGCCAUGCCGCGUGUGUGAAGAAGGUCUUCGGAUUGUAAAGCACUGUAAGUUGGGAGGAAGGGCAGUAAGUUAAUACCUUGCUGUUUUGACGUUACCAACAGAAUAAGCACCGGCUAACUUCGUG
This 484-nucleotide ribosomal RNA is filed under the name uncultured bacterium. RNAcentral's name for it is "partial 16S ribosomal RNA". It matches the Rfam family "Bacterial small subunit ribosomal RNA", at positions 30 to 507 of the family's 1533-position model. The record is from RNAcentral.